AUGCUCAUAAAUCAGUUAUAGUUUAUUUGAUGGUUCCUCGCUACAUGGAUAACUGUGGUAAUUCUAGAGCUAAUACAUGCUGAAGGCCCCGACUCGCGAAGGGGCGUGUUUAUUAGACCAAAGACCAACGCCCUCCGGGGCUCGCUGGUGAAUCAUGAUAACCGCACGAAUCGCAUGGCCUUGCGCCGGCGAUGGUUCAUUCAAAUUUCUGCCCUAUCAGCUUUCGAUGGUAGGAUAGUGGCCUACCAUGGCGUCAACGGGUGACAGGCAAUUAGGGUUGGAUUCUGGAGAGGGGGCCUGAGAAAUGGCCACCACAUCCAAGGAAGGCAGCAGGCGCGCAAAUUACCCAAUCCCGACACGGGGAGGUAGUGACAAAACAUACUGAUGCAGGGCUCUUUUGGGUCUUGCAAUCGGAAUGGGUACAACCUAAAACCCUUAACGAGGAACAAUUGGAGGGCAAGUCUGGUGCCAGCAGCCGCGGUAAUUCCAGCUCCAAUAGCGUAUAUUAAAGUUGUUGCAGUUAAAAAGCUCGUAGUUGAACCUGGGGUCUGGUUGGCCGGUCCGCCUCACCGCGUGCACUGGACCGACCGGGCCUUUCCUCCCGGGGAACCGCAUGCCCUUUGCUGGGUGUGCUGGGGAUCCGGGACCUUUACCUUGAGAAAAUCAGAGUGUUCAAAGCAGGCCUAUGCUCGGAUGCGUUAGCAUGGAAUAAUAGAAUAGGACGUGCGGUCCUAUUUUGUUGGUCUCUGGGACCGCCGUAAUGAUUGAUAGGGAUGGUCGGGGGCGUCCGUAUUCCACUGUCAGAGGUGAAAUUCUUGGAUUUGUGGAAGACGAACUACUGCGAAAGCAUUCGCCAAGGAUGUUUUCAUUAAUCAGUGAACGAAAGUUAGGGGAUCGAAGACGAUCAGAUACCGUCGUAGUCUUAACCAUAAACAAUGCCGACUAGGGAUCGGGCGAUGUUACCUUUUUGACUCGCUCGGCACCUUACGAGAAAUCAAAGUGUUUGGGUUCUG
RNAcentral lists this ribosomal RNA (1013 nucleotides) under Lichina intermedia. RNAcentral describes it as "SSU rRNA". It matches the Rfam family "Eukaryotic small subunit ribosomal RNA", at positions 94 to 1116 of the family's 1831-position model. The record is from RNAcentral. Lineage: Eukaryota; Fungi; Ascomycota; Lichinomycetes; Lichinales; Lichinaceae.